This 623-nucleotide ribosomal RNA is filed under the name Ailuropoda melanoleuca (giant panda). Its description in RNAcentral is "28S ribosomal RNA". It matches the Rfam family "Eukaryotic large subunit ribosomal RNA", at positions 625 to 1198 of the family's 3401-position model. Lineage: Eukaryota; Metazoa; Chordata; Mammalia; Carnivora; Ursidae. The record is from RNAcentral.
GGCGAUGUCGGCCACCCACCCGACCCAUCUUGAAACACAGACUAAGUAGUCUAACACGUGCGUGAGUCAGGAGCUCGCAUGAAAGUCGCCAUGGCGCAAUGAAGGUGAAGGCUGGCGCUGCUCGCCGGCCAAGGUGGGAUCCUGAGGCCUCUCCAGUCCGCCGAAUGUGCACCACCUGCCCAUCUCGCCUGCCACGCUGGGGAGGUGGAGCAUGAGCCCACGUGUUAGGGCCUGAAAGAUGGUGAACUAUGCCUGGGCAGGGCAAAGCCAUAGGAAACUCUGGUGGAGGUCUGUAGCGGUCCUGACGUGCAAAUCGGUCGUCCGACCUGGGUAUAGGGGUGAAAGACUAAUCGAACCAUCUAGUAGCUGGUUCCUCUGAAGUUUCCCUAAGGAUAGCUGGCGCUCUCGCACAUGAACUCACGAAGUUUUAUCUGAUAAAGCCAAUGAUUAGAGGUCUUGGGGCCCAAACGAUCUCAACCUAUUCUCAAACUUUAAAUGGGUAAGAAGCCCAGCUCGCUGGUGUGGAGCCGGGCGUGGAAUGUGAGUGCCUAGUGGCUACUUUUGGUAAGCAGAACUGGCGCUGUGGUAUGAACUGAACACCGGGUUAAGGCACCCGAUGCCGA